AACGCGAAGAACCUUACCGAGGUUUGACAUCUCUGGAAAGUCCGUGAAAGCGGACCGUGCCGUAAGGAACCAGAAGACAGAUGUUGCACGGCUGUCGUCAGCUCGUGCUGUGAAGUGUACGGUUAAGUCCGUAAACGAGCGCAACCCUUGUCGUGUGUUGAAUUUUUCACACGAGACCGCCAGGCUAACCUGGAGGAAGGUGGGGAUGACGUCAAGUCAGCGUGGCUCUUACACCUCGGGCUACACACGUGCUACAAUGGGUGCUAACAAUGGGUUGCAAAGCCGCGAGGCGAAGCUAAUCCCACCAAACGCACCCCCAGUUCGGAUUGAAGGCUGCAACUCGCCUUCAUGAAGCCGGAAUCGCUAGUAACGGCUGGUCAGCCAUACAGCCGUGAAUACGUUCUCGGGCCUUGUACACACCGCGAGC
This 427-nucleotide ribosomal RNA is filed under the name uncultured bacterium. RNAcentral describes it as "bacterial SSU rRNA". It matches the Rfam family "Bacterial small subunit ribosomal RNA", at positions 958 to 1397 of the family's 1533-position model. The record is from RNAcentral.